AAAACCCUUGCAUAAUGCCUCAAAUUUUCUUUCUUGGUAGGAGCAUUUGGAUAAGGUGGGUGUUGCACUGGAAAACUCUUAAGUUUCCCUUUCUCCUCUUGAACUUUUUGAGCUUUUGUCUUCUUUUCAUUACUCUUUUUUUUUUCUAAACCUUAGUUUUCAAUAUUUUCAUUUUCAACUAAUUCUUCCUUUUUAUUUUCG
RNAcentral lists this long non-coding RNA (201 nucleotides) under Lathyrus oleraceus (garden pea). Its description in RNAcentral is "Pisum sativum (pea) long non-coding RNA (PSAT_LNC000022)". Lineage: Eukaryota; Viridiplantae; Streptophyta; Magnoliopsida; Fabales; Fabaceae. The record is from RNAcentral.